ACAGAUCGUUUCAGAGUUUGAUCCUGGCUCAGGAUGAACGCUAGCUACAGGCUUAACACAUGCAAGUCGAGGGGCAUCACAGUGUAGCAAUACACGGGUGGCGACCGGCGCACGGGUGCGUAACACGUAUCCAAUCUGCCCGUUACUCGGGGAUAGCCUUCUGAAAGGAAGAUUAAUACCCGAUGGCAUGCGUCUGCGGCAUCGCAGUUGCAUUAAAGAUUUAUCGGUAACGGAUGAGGAUGCGUACGAUUAGCUAGUUGGCGGGGUAACGGCCCACCAAGGCUACGAUCGUUAGGGGUUCUGAGAGGAAGGUCCCCCACACUGGAACUGAGACACGGUCCAG
This 343-nucleotide ribosomal RNA is filed under the name uncultured bacterium. Its description in RNAcentral is "bacterial SSU rRNA". It matches the Rfam family "Bacterial small subunit ribosomal RNA", at positions 1 to 334 of the family's 1533-position model. The record is from RNAcentral.